GACGAAAGGAUCUGACGUAGAAG
RNAcentral lists this non-coding RNA (23 nucleotides) under Arabidopsis thaliana (thale cress). Lineage: Eukaryota; Viridiplantae; Streptophyta; Magnoliopsida; Brassicales; Brassicaceae. The record is from RNAcentral.